GAACGAGACCUUCGGGUCUAGUGGCGCACGGGUGCGUAACGCGUGGGAAUCUGCCCCUUGGUUCGGAAUAACAGUUAGAAAUGACUGCUAAUACCGGAUAACGACGUAAGUCCAAAGAUUUAUCGCCGAGGGAUGAGCCCGCGUAGGAUUAGCUAGUUGGUGUGGUAAAGGCGCACCAAGGCGAUGUGCCUUAGCUGGUCUGAGAGGAUGAUCAGCCACACUGGGACUGAGACACGGCCCAGACUCCUACGGGAGGCAGCAGUGGGGAAUAUUGGACAAUGGGCGAAAGCCUGAUCCAGCAAUGCCGCGUGAGUGAUGAAGGCCUUAGGGUUGUAAAGCUCUUUUACCCGGGAUGAUAAUGACAGUACCGGGAGAAUAAGCUCCGGCUAACUCCGUG
Molecule: ribosomal RNA, 397 nt
Filed under: uncultured bacterium
Lineage: Bacteria
Description: bacterial SSU rRNA
Rfam family: Bacterial small subunit ribosomal RNA
Source: RNAcentral